UCUCUAAGCAAUGGAUGUCUUGGCUCCUCACACGAUGAAGAACGUGGCAUAAUGUGUUAAGUAACCGGAGUUGCAAACAUCAUGACAGGUUAAUCUUUGAAUGCAAAUUGCGCUAAACUCGAUCUCGGUCGAGAAGCAUGGGUGUGACAGUA
RNAcentral lists this ribosomal RNA (152 nucleotides) under Trichomonas vaginalis G3. RNAcentral describes it as "5.8S ribosomal RNA". It matches the Rfam family "5.8S ribosomal RNA". Rfam says of the family: 5.8S ribosomal RNA (5.8S rRNA) is a component of the large subunit of the eukaryotic ribosome. It is transcribed by RNA polymerase I as part of the 45S precursor that also contains 18S and 28S rRNA. Functionally, it is thought that 5.8S rRNA may be involved in ribosome translocation. The record is from RNAcentral. Lineage: Eukaryota; Parabasalia; Trichomonadida; Trichomonadidae.